Molecule: ribosomal RNA, 492 nt
Filed under: uncultured bacterium
Lineage: Bacteria
Description: bacterial SSU rRNA
Rfam family: Bacterial small subunit ribosomal RNA
Source: RNAcentral
GAUGAACGCUAGCGGCAGGCUUAACACAUGCAAGUCGAGGGGCAGCGCGAUGUUGCAAUACAUUGGCGGCGACCGGCGCACGGGUGCGUAACACGUAUGGAACUUACCCUUUACUGGGAGAUAGCCCGGAGAAAUCCGGAUUAAUAUCCCAUAAUAAACGAAGUGGCAUCACUUUGUUUUGAAAGCUCCGGCGGUAAAGGAUGGCCAUGCGCACGAUUAGCUAGUAGGUGAGGUAACGGCUCACCUAGGCUACGAUCGUUAGGGGGCCUGAGAGGGUUAUCCCCCACACUGGUACUGAGACACGGACCAGACUCCUACGGGAGGCAGCAGUGAGGAAUAUUGCGCAAUGGAGGCAACUCUGACGCAGCCAUGCCGCGUGCAGGAAGAAGGCGCUACGCGUUGUAAACUGCUUUUAACCGGGAAGAAACCCUCCGACGUGUCGGAGGUUGACGGUACCGGAGGAAUAAGCACCGGCUAACUUCGUGCCAGCAG